RNAcentral lists this ribosomal RNA (318 nucleotides) under uncultured Pelotomaculum sp. RNAcentral's name for it is "bacterial SSU rRNA". It matches the Rfam family "Bacterial small subunit ribosomal RNA", at positions 920 to 1236 of the family's 1533-position model. The record is from RNAcentral. Lineage: Bacteria; Bacillati; Bacillota; Clostridia; Eubacteriales; Desulfotomaculaceae.
CCCGCACAAGCGGUGGAGCAUGUGGUUUAAUUCGACGCAACGCGAAGAACCUUACCAGGGCUUGACAUCCCCUGACCGCGUAUGAAAGUACGUUUUCACCCUCGGGUGACAGGGAGACAGGUGGUGCAUGGUUGUCGUCAGCUCGUGUCGUGAGAUGUUGGGUUAAGUCCCGCAACGAGCGCAACCCCUACGUUUAGUUGCUAACGCGUGAAGGCGAGCACUCUAGACGAACUGCCGUUGACAAACGGAGGAAGGUGGGGAUGACGUCAAAUCAUCAUGCCCCUUAUGUUCUGGGCUACACACGUGCUACAAUGGCCG